This 742-nucleotide long non-coding RNA is filed under the name Homo sapiens (human). RNAcentral's name for it is "HSALNT0332084". The record is from RNAcentral. Lineage: Eukaryota; Metazoa; Chordata; Mammalia; Primates; Hominidae.
AGAAGGUCAGAUGGCUCACAGCGGGCGUGGAGCACAAGAAGCAAAGAGAAGCAGGAAAUGACUUACUGCAAAGAACCACUCUUCCCCACGAGACUUCGAGAAGACCCGCUGUCACGGACUGAGUUGUGUCCUCUUAAAAUUCAGAUGUUGGAGUCCAAACCCCCAGUAACUCAGAGUGUGAACGUAUUUGAAGAGGUCUUUAAAGAGGUGAUGAAGGGAGAGAGACCCCAUGAGCUCGUCAAGCUCCUUCUGUGACUGAUCAGAGAUCCCACCGUGAGUCCAGCUCCUGGUCCCAUGCUCUGGAUAUAUCGGUCCCUGGCAGCGUGGCUCCAUCUCCGUAGCCUGCUUUUGACAAAAGUGGAUACAUAAAUCUAGGGGCCACCUAGCUAGUUCUAAUAAGACUUUGGAAGUCAAAAGCUAAAGAAGACCAGGGGACCAAGCUGGAAAUCAGGCUCUGCAAUCAGAUUCCAGAGGGAAUGCCAUUCCACCCAAUCACCUAGCCACAACGGUUCCCUUCCUUCAAGAUGCUGCAUGCCUCUUCAGGCGAAUGGAUUACCUUGUAAGAGUGACCUGAAAAAGCGUUAGCCCAGCCACACCGAGGCUUAACUGAGCCAUUUGAUUCUCACUGCCUCUCUCUGUUGCUUCCUCUUGCUUUCAACUACAGGGUCUUUCUGUUUAGGUGGUGAAAAAAAUGAUCGUUAAAAACAAUAAACCUGGGGACCUCUGAUACCAUGAGCCCAGC